Molecule: ribosomal RNA, 216 nt
Filed under: Glomeromycotina sp.
Lineage: Eukaryota; Fungi; Glomeromycota
Description: partial small subunit ribosomal RNA
Rfam family: Eukaryotic small subunit ribosomal RNA (bases 40-216)
Source: RNAcentral
GGGUCAGUAGGUUGGACGUGCCACCGGUACGUACUGGUCUCACUGAUUCCUCCUUCCUGAAGAACUGUAAUGCCAUUAAUUUGGUGUUGCGGGGAAACAGGACUGUUACUUUGAAAAAAUUAGAGUGUUUAAAGCAAGCUAACGCUUGAAUACAUUAGCAUGGAAUAAUGAAAUAGGACGAUCGAUCCUAUUUUGUUGGUUUCUAGGAUUGACGUA